GACGAACGCUGGCGGCGUGCCUAAUACAUGCAAGUCGAACGCAGUGGGGACGGGUGCUUAACACGUUGGUAAACUCCCAUCAGAGGGGAGAACACUUGGAAACAGGUGCUAAACCGAUACUGAUGGAUGGACCCGCUGUGCAUGAGCAAGUGGGGGAGGGAACGGCUCACCAAGGCCACGAUGCAUAGCCGACCUGAGAGGGGGAUCGGCCAAACUGGGACUGAGACACGGGCCAGACUACGACGGGAGGCAGCAGUAGGGAAUCUGCCGCAAUGGACGAAAGUCUGACCGAGAAACGCCGCGUGAGUGAAGAAGGUUUUCGGAUCGUAAAACUCUGUUGUUAGAGAAGCGGUAUCUAACCAGAAAGCCCCGGCUAACUACGUGCCAGCAGCCGCGGUAAUAC
RNAcentral lists this ribosomal RNA (403 nucleotides) under uncultured bacterium. Its description in RNAcentral is "partial 16S ribosomal RNA". It matches the Rfam family "Bacterial small subunit ribosomal RNA", at positions 28 to 526 of the family's 1533-position model. The record is from RNAcentral.